This 1515-nucleotide ribosomal RNA is filed under the name Francisella orientalis. Its description in RNAcentral is "Francisella noatunensis subsp. orientalis 16S ribosomal RNA". It matches the Rfam family "Bacterial small subunit ribosomal RNA". RNAcentral also lists the same sequence under 1 other name. The record is from RNAcentral. Lineage: Bacteria; Pseudomonadati; Pseudomonadota; Gammaproteobacteria; Thiotrichales; Francisellaceae.
AGAGUUUGAUCCUGGCUCAGAUUGAACGCUGGUGGCAUGCUUAACACAUGCAAGUCGAACGGUAACAGGUCUUCGGAUGCUGACGAGUGGCGGACGGGUGAGUAACGCGUAGGAAUCUGCCAUCUGUGGGGGAUACCAGUUGGAAACGACUGUUAAUACCGCAUAAUAUCUGCGGAUUAAAGGUGGCCUUUGCGCUGCCGCAGAUGGAUGAGCCUGCGUUGGAUUAGCUAGUUGGUGGGGUAAGGGCCUACCAAGGCUACGAUCCAUAGCUGAUUUGAGAGGAUGAUCAGCCACAUUGGGACUGAGACACGGCCCAAACUCCUACGGGAGGCAGCAGUGGGGAAUAUUGGACAAUGGGGGAAACCCUGAUCCAGCAAUGCCAUGUGUGUGAAGAAGGCUCUAGGGUUGUAAAGCACUUUAGUUGGGGAGGAAAGCCUGUGAGUUAAUAGCUUGCAGGAAGGACGUUGCCCAAAGAAUAAGGACCGGCUAACUCCGUGCCAGCAGCCGCGGUAAUACGGGGGGUCCGAGCGUUAAUCGGAAUUACUGGGCGUAAAGGGUCUGUAGGUGGUUUGUUAAGUCAGAUGUGAAAGCCCAGGGCUCAACCUUGGAACUGCAUUUGAUACUGACAAACUAGAGUAUGGUAGAGGAAUAGGGAACUUCUGGUGUAGCGGUGAAAUGCGUAGAGAUCAGAAGGAACACCAAUGGCGAAGGCAACAUUCUGGACCAAUACUGACACUGAGGGACGAAAGCGUGGGGAUCAAACAGGAUUAGAUACCCUGGUAGUCCACGCUGUAAACGAUGAGUACUAGCUGUUGGAUUCGGUGUAAAGGAUCUAGUGGCGCAGCUAACGCGUUAAGUACUCCGCCUGGGGACUACGGCCGCAAGGCUAAAACUCAAAGGAAUUGACGGGGACCCGCACAAGCGGUGGAGCAUGUGGUUUAAUUCGAUGCAACGCGAAGAACCUUACCUGGUCUUGACAUCCUGCGAACUUUCUAGAGAUAGAUUGGUGCCUUCGGGAACGCAGUGACAGGUGCUGCACGGCUGUCGUCAGCUCGUGUUGUGAAAUGUUGGGUUAAGUCCCGCAACGAGCGCAACCCCUAUUGAUAGUUACCAUCAUUAAGUUGGGUACUCUAUUGAGACUGCCGCUGACAAGGCGGAGGAAGGUGGGGACGACGUCAAGUCAUCAUGGCCCUUACGACCAGGGCUACACACGUGCUACAAUGGGUAUUACAGAGGGCUGCGAAGGUGCGAGCUGGAGCGAAACUCAGAAAGGUACUCUUAGUCCGGAUUGCAGUCUGCAACUCGACUGCAUGAAGUCGGAAUCGCUAGUAAUCGCAGGUCAGAAUACUGCGGUGAAUACGUUCCCGGGUCUUGUACACACCGCCCGUCACACCAUGGGAGUGGGUUGCUCCAGAAGUAGAUAGCUUAACGAAUGGGCGUUUACCACGGAGUGAUUCAUAACUGGGGUGAAGUCGUAACAAGGUAGCCGUAGGGGAACCUGCGGCUGGAUCACCU